Molecule: ribosomal RNA, 492 nt
Filed under: uncultured bacterium
Lineage: Bacteria
Description: partial 16S ribosomal RNA
Rfam family: Bacterial small subunit ribosomal RNA
Source: RNAcentral
AGUGAACGCUGGCGAUAGGCCUAACACAUGCAAGUCGAACGGCAGCACAGUAAGAGCUUGCUCUUACGGGUGGCGAGUGGCGGACGGGUGAGGAAUACAUCGGAAUCUACUUUUUCGUGGGGGAUAACGUAGGGAAACUUACGCUAAUACCGCAUACGACCUACGGGUGAAAGCAGGGGAUCUUCGGACCUUGCGCGAUUGAAUGAGCCGAUGUCGGAUUAGCUAGUUGGCGGGGGAAAGGCCCACCAAGGCGACGAUCCGUAGCUGGUCUGAGAGGAUGGUCAGCCACACUGGAACUGAGACAGGGUCCAGACUCCUGCGGGAGGGAGCAGUGGGGAAUAGGGGACAAUGGGCGCAAGCCUGAUCCAGCGAUACCGCGUGGGUGAAGAAGGCCUUCGGGUUGUAAAGACCUUUUGUUGGGAAAGAAAAGCAGCAGGUUAAUACCCCGCUGUUCUGACGGUACCCAAAGAAUAAGCACCGGCUAACUUCGUG